RNAcentral lists this ribosomal RNA (374 nucleotides) under uncultured organism. RNAcentral describes it as "partial 16S ribosomal RNA". It matches the Rfam family "Bacterial small subunit ribosomal RNA", at positions 527 to 896 of the family's 1533-position model. The record is from RNAcentral.
GAACCGUCCAAACGUUAUUCGGAAUCACUGGGGCUUAAAGGGGUGCGUAGGCGGCGCGGUUAGUCGGAUGUGAAAUCGUACAGCUCAACUGUACAACUGCGUCCGAAACUGCCGUGCUCGAGGAAGGCAGAGGUGAGCGGAACUCAGGGUGGAGCGGUGAAAUGCGUUGAUAUCCUGGGGAACACCGGUGGCGAAGGCGGCUCACUGGGCCUUUUCUGACGCUGAGGCACGAAAGCUAGGGUAGCGAACAGGAUUAGAUACCCUGGUAGUCCUAGCUGUAAACGAUGAGCACUAGAUCGAGGAGACUUCCACAUCUUCUCGGUCGUAGCGAAAGUGUUAAGUGCUCCGCCUGGGGAGUAUGGUCGCAAAGGCUG